AGUGAACGCUGGCGGUAGGCCUAACACAUGCAAGUCGAACGGCAGCACAGUAAGAGCUUGCUCUUACGGGUGGCGAGUGGCGGACGGGUGAGGAAUACAUCGGCAUCUACUUUUUCGUGGGGGAUAACGUAGGGAAACUUACGCUAAUACCGCAUACGACCUACGGGUGAAAGCAGGGGAUCUUCGGACCUUUCGCGAUUGAAUGAGCCGAUGUCGGAUUAGCUAGUUGGCGGGGUAAAGGCCCACCAAGGCGACGAUGCGUAGCUGGUCUGAGAGGAUGAUCAGCCACACUGGAACUGAGACACGGUCCAGACUCCUACGGGAGGCAGCAGUGGGGAAUAUUGGACAAUGGGCGCAAGCCUGAUCCAGCCAUACCGCGUGGGUGAAGAAGGCCUUCGGGUUGUAAAGCCCUUUUGUUGGGAAAGAAAAGCAGCAGGUGAAUACCCCGCUGUUCUGACGGUACCCAAAGAAUAAGCACCGGCUAACUUCGUG
Molecule: ribosomal RNA, 492 nt
Filed under: uncultured bacterium
Lineage: Bacteria
Description: partial 16S ribosomal RNA
Rfam family: Bacterial small subunit ribosomal RNA
Source: RNAcentral